GAUGAACGCUGGCGGCGUGCCUAAUACAUGCAAGUCGAGCGAACAGACGAGGAGCUUGCUCCUCUGACGUUAGCGGCUGACGGGUGAGUAACACGUGGAUAACCUACCUAUAAGACUGGGAUAACUUCGGGAAACCGGAGCCAAUACCGGAUAAUAUAUUGAACCGCAUGGUUCAAUAGUGAAUGACGGCUUUGCUGUCACUUAUAGAUGGUUCCGCGCCGCAUUAGCUAGUUGGUAAGGUAACGGCUUACCAAGGCAACGAUGCGUAGCCGACCUGAGAGAGUGAUCGGCCACACUGGAACUGAAACACGGUCCAGACUCCUAAGGGAGGCAGCAGUAGGGAAUCUUCGGCAAUGGGCGAAAGCCUGACGGAGCAACGCCGCGUGAGUGAUGAAGGUCUUCGGAUCGUAAAACUCUGUUAUUGGGGAAGAACAAAUGUGUAAGUAAAUAUGGACGUCUUGACGGUACCUAAUCAAAAAGCCACGGCUAACUACGUG
This 497-nucleotide ribosomal RNA is filed under the name uncultured bacterium. RNAcentral's name for it is "partial 16S ribosomal RNA". It matches the Rfam family "Bacterial small subunit ribosomal RNA", at positions 28 to 507 of the family's 1533-position model. The record is from RNAcentral.